UAAAAACAGAUCACUUUUGGAGUGUCUGGUCUACUAUCCUCUCCAGGCAUUUGAUACAUUUCCUCUUCUAGUGACACUUCUUGUUCUCUUAAUACACUGCUUCAAGGAGUUAAAUUCAUUUAUACUGCAGGUUAUACACGCUGCCCGGGCAAAUGCUACUCAUAACCAUGGACUAGAUCCUGCUCGUCUCCUUGUUGCGGAAGCGUUUGUUGGGAAGGGACUAUUUGGGAAGAAGGUAGCUUACCAUGCAAAAGGAAGAAGCGGGAUUAUAUCAGUACCCCGGUGUCGCCUAACAGUCAUAGUUAGAGAGACGACUGCAGAGGAAGAAGCUGAGAUUGCAAGGCUCAAAGUUCACAAUUUUAAGAAGAAAACCAAACGGCAGAGACAGCUUGUACCUUUCGAGCUCAUCGAGACAACUCCAAUCUGGAACCGCAGAGGUACAAAAGCCAAUUAUCGGUCCUCAGAGUUGGUACCGUCUCAGUAGUAUCGUUGUUCCGGCAACUAUAACCAGAGCUUCUCUUUUAUGAUACUUUCUGUUUGUUUUGGUUUUAAUAUUGCUUGCAUUCACUAAACAUGUUGCUAGAGAGGAACCAAAGCUCACUUAAACAGAGCUGUCCCCGCUUUGUUUUUUUUCUUGGGAGUCUCUUAAUUGUUGUUUUUGUGGAAACAAAGUUAAAUUCUCUUUUCCCAGUCUUUGCAAGUA
Non-coding RNA from Camelina sativa (false flax), 703 nucleotides. The record is from RefSeq and is a predicted model, not a curated record. NCBI's taxonomy places the organism in Eukaryota, Viridiplantae, Streptophyta, Magnoliopsida, Brassicales, Brassicaceae.